Molecule: ribosomal RNA, 253 nt
Filed under: uncultured bacterium
Lineage: Bacteria
Description: partial 16S ribosomal RNA
Rfam family: Bacterial small subunit ribosomal RNA
Source: RNAcentral
GACGAACCGUCCAAACGUUAUUCGGAAUCACUGGGCUUACAGGGUGCGUAGGCGGCUUAGCAAGUCAGGUGUGAAAGCCCCCGGCUCAACCGGGGAACUGCGCUUGAAACUGCUGAGCUCGAGUCAGCUAGAGGUACACGGAACUUCCAGUGGAGCGGUGAAAUGUGUUGAUAUUGGAAGGAACACCGGAGGCGAAAGCGGUGUACUGGGGCUGGUCUGACGCUGAGGCACGAAAGCCAGGGGAGCGAACGGG